GUAGGAGUCCGUGCGGAAUCUUCCUGCAAUUAAAGUCAGGUGCGAAGUCUGGCUCCCGUAGGAGUCCGGACGGAGCUUACCGACAGUUGAAGUUGGCGACGGAGCCCGGUUCCCGUAGGAGUCCGGGCGAAGUCUCUCUUGGAGUCGUGGAUGGAGCCCGGCUCCCAUAGGAGUCCGGGCGGAAUCCUGCUGCAAUUAAAGUCAGGUGCGAAGUCCGGCUCCCGUAGGAGU
This 231-nucleotide long non-coding RNA is filed under the name Elaeis guineensis (African oil palm). RNAcentral describes it as "long non-coding RNA (EGUI_LNC040427)". The record is from RNAcentral. Lineage: Eukaryota; Viridiplantae; Streptophyta; Magnoliopsida; Arecales; Arecaceae.